Molecule: ribosomal RNA, 495 nt
Filed under: uncultured bacterium
Lineage: Bacteria
Description: partial 16S ribosomal RNA
Rfam family: Bacterial small subunit ribosomal RNA
Source: RNAcentral
GACGAACGCUGGCGGCGUGCCUAAUACAUGCAAGUCGAACGCUGAAGGAGGAGCUUGCUCUUCUGGAUGAGCUGCGAACGGGUGAGUAACGCGUAGGUAACCUGCCUGGUAGCGGGGGAUAACUAUUGGAAACGAUAGCUAAUACCGCAUAAAAUUGAUUAUUGCAUGAUAGUCAAUUAAAAGGUGCAAUUGCAUCACUACCAGAUGGACCUGCGUUGUAUUAGCUAGUUGGUGAGGUAACGGCUCACCAAGGCAACGAUACAUAGCCGACCUGAGAGGGGGAUCGGCCACACUGGGACUGAGACACGGCCCAGACUCCUACGGGAGGCAGCAGUAGGGAAUCUUCGGCAAUGGACGGAAGUCUGACCGAGCAACGCCGCGUGAGUGAAGAAGGUUUUCGGAUCGUAAAGCUCUGUUGUAAGAGAAGAACGAGUGUGAGAGUGGAAAGUUCACACUGUGACGGUAUCUUACCAGAAAGGGACGGCUAACUACGUG